CUUUGAUUAUGGCUCAGGAUGAACGCUAGCUACAGGCUUAACACAUGCAAGUCGAGGGGCAGCAUGUCGGUUGCUUGCAACCGACGAUGGCGACCGGCGCACGGGUGAGUAACGCGUAUCCAACCUACCCUUGUCCAUCGGAUAACCCGUCGAAAGGCGGCCUAACACGAUAUGCGGUUCACAGCAGGCAUCUAACGUGAACGAAAUGUGAAGGAGAAGGAUGGGGAUGCGUCUGAUUAGCUUGUUGGCGGGGUAACGGCCCACCAAGGCGACGAUCAGUAGGGGUUCUGAGAGGAAGGUCCCCCACAUUGGAACUGAGACACGGUCCAAACUCCUACGGGAGGCAGCAGUGAGGAAUAUUGGUCAAUGGACGAGAGUCUGAACCAGCCAAGUAGCGUGCAGGAUGACGGCCCUAUGGGUUGUAAACUGCUUUUAUAGGGGGAUAAAGUGUGCCACGUGUGGCAUAUUGCAGGUACCCUAUGAAUAAGGACCGGCUAAUUCCGUGCCAGCAGCCGCGGUAAUACGGAAGGUCCGGGCGUUAUCCGGAUUUAUUGGGUUUAAAGGGAGCGUAGGCCGUCUUAUAAGCGUGUUGUGAAAUGUCGGGGCUCAACCUGGGCAUUGCAGCGCGAACUGUGAGACUUGAGUGCGCAGGAAGUAGGCGGAAUUCGUCGUGUAGCGGUGAAAUGCUUAGAUAUGACGAAGAACUCCGAUUGCGAAGGCAGCCUGCUGUAGCGCAACUGACGCUGAAGCUCGAAAGCGUGGGUAUCGAACAGGAUUAGGUACCCUGGUAGUCCACGCGGUAAACGAUGGAUGCUCGCUGUUUGCGUCUGACGUAAGCGGCCAAGCGAAAGCGUUAAGCAUCCCACCUGGGGAGUACGCCGGCAACGGUGCAACUCAAAUGAAUUGACGGA
This 911-nucleotide ribosomal RNA is filed under the name uncultured bacterium. RNAcentral's name for it is "bacterial SSU rRNA". It matches the Rfam family "Bacterial small subunit ribosomal RNA", at positions 11 to 917 of the family's 1533-position model. The record is from RNAcentral. RNAcentral also lists the same sequence under 1 other name.